This 28-nucleotide non-coding RNA is filed under the name Bombyx mori (domestic silkworm). RNAcentral also lists the same sequence under 2 other names. Lineage: Eukaryota; Metazoa; Arthropoda; Insecta; Lepidoptera; Bombycidae. The record is from RNAcentral.
UAAUUAGUGACGCGCAUGAAUGGAUUAA